RNAcentral lists this ribosomal RNA (166 nucleotides) under uncultured Bacteroidota bacterium. Its description in RNAcentral is "uncultured Bacteroidetes bacterium partial 16S ribosomal RNA". It matches the Rfam family "Bacterial small subunit ribosomal RNA", at positions 363 to 526 of the family's 1533-position model. Lineage: Bacteria; Pseudomonadati; Bacteroidota. The record is from RNAcentral.
AUUGCGCAUGGANGAAAUCUGACGCAGCCAUGCCGCGUGCAGGAUGANUGCCCUAUGGGUUGUAAACUGCUUUUNUGGCNNGAAGAAACCUUANUNCGUGUACUAACUUGACGGUACUCGCANGAAUAAGCACCGGCUAACUCCGUGCCAGCAGCCGCGGUAAUAU